AGAGCGAACGCUGGCGGCAGGCUUAACACAUGCAAGUCGAGCGGACGUAGCAAUACGUCAGCGGCAGACGGGUGAGUAACGCGUGGGAACGUACCUUUUGGUUCGGAACAACACAGGGAAACUUGUGCUAAUACCGAAUACGCCCUUACGGGGAAAGAUUUAUCGCCGAAAGAUCGGCCCGCGUCUGAUUAGCUAGUUGGUGGGGUAACGGCCCACCAAGGCGACGAUCAGUAGCUGGUCUGAGAGGAUGAUCAGCCACAUUGGGACUGAGACACGGCCCAAACUCCUACGGGAGGCAGCAGUGGGGAAUAUUGGACAAUGGGCGCAAGCCUGAUCCAGCCAUGCCGCGUGAGUGAUGAAGGCCCUAGGGUUGUAAAGCUCUUUUGUGCGGGAAGAUAAUGACGGUACCGCAAGAAUAAGCCCCGGCUAACUUCGCGCCAGCAGCCGC
This 448-nucleotide ribosomal RNA is filed under the name uncultured bacterium. RNAcentral's name for it is "SSU rRNA". It matches the Rfam family "Bacterial small subunit ribosomal RNA", at positions 26 to 518 of the family's 1533-position model. The record is from RNAcentral.